GAUGAAGAACGUAGCGAAAUGCGAUAAGUGAUGUGAAUUGCAGAAUUCAGUGAAUCAUCGAAUCUUUGAACGCACAUUGCGCCCGCCAGUAUUCUGGCGGGCAUGCCUGUCUGAGCGUCAUUUCAACCCUCAUGCCCCUAGGGCGUGGUGUUGGGGAUCGGCCAAAGCCCGCGAGGGACGGCCGGCCCCUAAAUCUAGUGGCGGACCCGUCGUGGCCUCCUCUGCGAAGUAGUGAUAUUCCGCAUCGGAGAGCGAUGAGCCCCUGCCGUUAAACCCCCAACUUUCCAAGGUUGACCUCAGAUCAGGUAGGAAUACCCGCUGAACUUAAGCAUAUCAAUAAGCGGAGGA
Molecule: unclassified non-coding RNA, 348 nt
Filed under: soil metagenome
Description: partial contains 5.8S ribosomal RNA, internal transcribed spacer 2, and large subunit ribosomal RNA
Rfam family: 5.8S ribosomal RNA (bases 1-120)
Source: RNAcentral